AGAGAAAGAAGGGGCUUUAGGCAUUCACACUUAUCGGUAAACUGAAAAGAUGCGGAAGAAGCUUGAGUGAAGGCAAGGUUCGCUUAAGAAGGGAAACCGGGUUUGUAGCUCAGCUGGUUAGAGCACACGCUUGAUAAGCGUGGGGUCGGAGGUUCAAGUCCUCCCAGACCCACCAAGAACGGGGGCAUAGCUCAGUUGGUAGAGCACCUGCUUUGCAAGCAGGGGGUCAUCGGUUCGAUCCCGUUUGCCUCCACCAAAACUUUACAAAUAAAAGCAAGUUUGCUGUUUUUAGCAGCUUAUUUUGAUUUGCGAAGUAGAAUAACGACGCAUCGAUCUUUAACAAAUUGGAAAGCCGAAAUCAACAAACAAAGACAAUGAGUUUGUUUUGAUUUUUUAUUCUUUGCAAAGGAUAAAAACCUCUCGCAAGAGAAAAGAAAACAAACAUAGUAUUUGGGUGAUGAUUGUAUCGACUUAAUCCUGAAACACAAAAGGCAGGAUUAAGACACAACAAAGCAGUAAGCUUUAUCAAAGUAGGGAUUUCAAGUUUGCUUACUUAGUCAACGGGUAGGUAAACGAAGUCAAAGAAGUUCUUGAAAUGAUAG
This 602-nucleotide transfer RNA is filed under the name Neisseria gonorrhoeae. RNAcentral's name for it is "16S-23S rRNA intergenic spacer". The stretch from base 99 to 172 matches the Rfam family "tRNA". The record is from RNAcentral. Lineage: Bacteria; Pseudomonadati; Pseudomonadota; Betaproteobacteria; Neisseriales; Neisseriaceae.